This 25-nucleotide non-coding RNA is filed under the name Mus musculus (house mouse). Lineage: Eukaryota; Metazoa; Chordata; Mammalia; Rodentia; Muridae. The record is from RNAcentral.
UGCCAGCCCUGGGUGACUUGUAAGG